RNAcentral lists this long non-coding RNA (20103 nucleotides) under Brassica rapa (field mustard). Its description in RNAcentral is "long non-coding RNA (BRAP_LNC004209)". The record is from RNAcentral. Lineage: Eukaryota; Viridiplantae; Streptophyta; Magnoliopsida; Brassicales; Brassicaceae.
AUAACAAGAAAUUUUGUUGAUAGAUGAGUAUUCUUUGAGGAUUUUUGAUCAAUAAGUUGUAUUUUUAAGAUAAAAUUCUCAAAAAAUCUAUUUUAGGAAAGUUUUAUUUUUAAUUGGAAAUAUUGUAGAUUUGGGGUUCAGAUUAAAAAUAUUAGAACAACAAGAAUUUUUGUUGAUAGGUGAGCAUUCUUUUAAAAGUUUUGAUCAAUAGGUUGUAUAUUUUAUAUAAAAUUCUCAAAAAUUCUAUUUUUGGAAAGUUUUCAUUUUUGUGAAUAAUAGUGUGGAUUUGUGGUUUUGAUUUAGAAAUUAGGAUAGCAAGAAUUGUUUGUUGAUAGAUGGAGUAUUCUUUUACAUUUUUUGAUGAAUAGUUGUAUUUUUUAAAAUAUAAUUCUCAAAAGUUAUAUUUUAGAAAAAAAAAAUUUUUGGUGAAUAAUAGUGUGGAUUUGGGGUUUUGAUAUAGAAAUUAGGAUAACAAGAAUUGUUUGUUUACAGAUGGAGUAUUCUUUUAGAUUUUUUGAUCAAUAGUUGUAUUUUUUAAAUAUAAUUAUCAAAAGUUCUAUUUUAGGAAAGUUUUCAUUGUAUAUAGAAAUAUUGUAGAUUUGGGGUUGUGGUUUAGAAAUUAGGAUAAAAAUAUAUUUUUUUGAUGUAUGAGUAUUUUUUUAGAUUUUUUGGAUCAAUAGGUUGUUUAUCUUAGAUAAAAUUCUCAAAACUUCUAUUUUUAGAAAGUUUUCAUUUUUAUUGAGAAAUAUUGUAGAUUUAAGGUUGUGAUUUAGAAUUUAGGAUAACAAGAAAUUUUGUUGAUAGAUGAGUAUUCUUUGAGGUUUUUUGAUCAAUAGGUUGUAUAUUUUAGAUGAAAUUUUCAAAACUUCUAUUUUUUGAAAGUUUUCAUUUUUAUUGAGAAUAUUAGAAGAAAUUUUGUUGAUAGAUGAGUAUUCCUUGUGGACUUUUGAUCAAUAAGUUGUAUUUUUAAGAUAAAAUUCUCAAAAGUGUAUUUAGGAAAGUUUUAUUUUUAUUGGGAAAUAUUGUAGAUUUGGGGUUCAGAUUAAAAAUAUUAGAAAACAGAAUUUUUGUUGAUAGGUGAGCAUUCUUUUAAAAGUUUUGAUCAUAGGUUGUAUAUUUUAUAUAAAUUCACAAAAUUCUAUUUUUGGAAAGUUUCAUUUUUGUGAAUAAUAGUGUGGAUUUGAGGUUUUGAUUUAGAAAUUACGAUAACAAAAAUUAUUUGUUGAUAGAUGGAGUAUUCUUUUACAUUUUUGAUGAAUAGUUAUAUUUUUUAAAUAUAAUUAUCAAAAGUUCUAUUUUAGGAAAGUUUUCAUUUAGGUGAAUAAUAGUGUGUAUUUGGGGUUUUGAUUUAGAAAUUAGGAUAACAAGAAUUGUUUGUUUAAUGAUGGAGUAUUAUUUUAGAUUUUUUGACGAAUAAUUGUAAUUUUUAAAUAUAAUUAUCAAAAGUUCUAUUUUAGGAAAGUUUUCAUUGUCUAUAGAAAUAUUGUAGAUUUGGAGUUGUGAUUUAGAAAUUAGGAUAACAAUAUUUUUUGUUGAUAUAUGAGUAUUUGUUUAGAUUUUUUGAUCAAUAGGUUAUAUUUUAGAUAAAAUUCUCAAAACUUCUAUUUUUAGAAAGUUUUCAUUUUUAUUGAGAAAUAUUGUAGAGUUAGGGUUGUGAUUUAGAAUUUAGGAUAACAAGAAAUUUUGUUGAGAGAUGAGUAUUCUUUGAGGAUUUUUGAUCAAUAAGUUGUAUUUUUAAGAUAAAAUUCUCAAAAAUCUAUUUUAGGAACGUUUUAUUUUUAUUUGGAAAUAUUGUAGAUUUGGGGUUCAGAUUAAAAAUAUUAGAACAACAAGAAUUUUUGUUGAUAGGUGAGCAUUUUUUAAAAAGUUUUGAUCACUAGGUUGUAUAUUUUAUAUAAAAUUCUCAAAAAUUCUAUUUUUGGAAAGUUUCAUUUUUGUGAAUAAUAGUGUGGAUUUGGGGUUUUGAUUUAGAAAUUAGGAUAAAAGAAUUGUUUGUUGAUAGAUGGAGUAUUCUUUUACAUUUUUUGAUGAAUAGUUGUAUUUUUAAAAUAUAAUUCUCAAAAGUUCUAUUUUAGGAAAGUUUUCAUUUUGAUGAAUAAUAGUGUGGAUUUGGGGUUUUGAUUUAGAAAUUAGGAUAACAAGAAUUGUUUGUUGAAAGAUGGAGUAUUCUUUUAGAUUUUUUGAUCAAUAGUUGUAUUUUUUAAAUAUAAUUCUCAAAAGUUCUAUUUUAGAAAAGUUUUCAUUGUCUAUAGAAAUAUUGUAGAUUUGGGGUUGUGAUUUAGAAAUUAGGAUAACAAUAUUUUUUGUUGAUAUAUGAGUAUUUUUUUUAGAUUUGAUCAAUAGGUUGUUUUUUAGAUAAAAUUCUCAAACUUCUAUUUUUAGAAAGUUUUCAUUUUUAUUGAGAAAUAUUGUAGAUUUAGGGUUGUAAUUUAGAAUUUAGGAUAACAAGAAAUUUUGUUGAUAGAUGAGUAUUCUUUGAGGAUUUUUGAUCAAUAAGUUGUAUUUUUAAGAUAAAAUUCUCAAAAAAUCUAUUUUAGGAAAGUUUUAUUUUUAUUUGGAAAUAUUGUAGAUUUGGGGUUCAGAUUAAAAAUAUUAGAACAACAAGAAUUUUUGUUGAUAGGUGAGCAUUUUUUUAAAGUUUUGAUCACUAGGUUGUAUAUUUUAUAUAAUUCUCAAAAUUCUAUUUUUGGAAAGUUUCAUUUUUGUGAAUAUAGUGUGGAUUUGGGGUUUUGAUUUAGAAAUUAGGAUAACAAGAAUUGUUUGUUGAUAGAUGGAGUAUUCUUUUACAUUUUUUGAUGAAUAGUUGUAUUUUUAAAAUAUAAUUCUCAAAAGUUCUAUUUUAGGAAAGUUUCCAUUUUUGUUGAAUAAUAGUGUGGAUUUGGGGUUUUGAUUUAGAAAUUAGGAUAACAAGAAUUGUUUGUUGAUAGAUGGAGUAUUCUUUUAGAUUUUUUGAUCAAUAGUUGUAUUUUUAAAUAUAAUUAUCAAAAUUCUAUUUUAGGAAAGUUUUCAUUGUCUAUAGAAAUAUUGUAGAUUUGGGGUUGUGAUUUAGAAAUUAGGAUAACAAUAUUUUUUGUUGAUGUAUGAGUAUUUGUUUAGAUUUUUGGAUCAAUAGGUUGUUUUAGAUAAAUUCUCAAAACUUCUAUUUUUAGAAAGUUUUCAUUUUAUUGAGAAAUAUUGUAGAGUUAGGGUUGUGAUUUAGAAUUUAGGAUAACAAGAAAUUUUGUUGAUAGAUGAGUAUUCUUUGAGGAUUUUUGAUCAAUAAGUUGUAUUUUUAAGAUAAAUUCUCAAAAAAUCUAUUUUAGGAAAGAAAGUUUAUUUUUAAUUGGAAAUUGUAGAUUUGGGGUUCAGAUUAAAAAUAUUAGAACAACAAGAAUUUUGUUGAUAGGUGAGUAUUUUUUUAAAAGUUUUGAUCAAUAGGUUGUAUAUUUAUAUAAAAAUUCUCAAAAUUCUAUUUUGGAAAGUUUUCAUUUUUGUGAAUAAUAGUGUGGAUUUGGGGUUUUGAUUUAGAAAUUAGGAUAACAAGAAUUGUUUGUUGAUAGAUGGAGUAUUCUUUUACAAUUUUUGAUGAAUAGUUGUAUUUUUUAAAUAUAAUCUCAAAAGUUAUAUUUUAGAAAAAAAAUUUUGGUGAAUAAUAGUGUGGAUUUGGGGUUUUGAUAUAGAAAUUAGGAUAACAAGAAUUGUUUGUUUACAGAUGGAGUAUUCUUUUAGAUUUUUUGAUCAAUAGUUGUAUUUUUUAAAUAUAAUUAUCAAAAGUUCUAUUUUAGGAAAGUUUUCAUUGUAUAUAGAAAUAUUGUAGAUUUGGGGUUGUUGUUUAGAAAUUAGGAAAAUAUAUUUUUUGAUGUAUGAGUAUUUUUUUAGAUUUUGAUCAAUAGGUUGUAUAUUUAGAUAAAAUUCUCAAAACUUCUAUUUUUAGAAAGUUUUCAUUUUAUUGAGAAAUAUUGUAGAUUUAAGGUUGUGAUUUAGAAUUUAGGAUAACAAGAAAUUUUGUUGAUAGAUGAGUAUUCUUUGAGGUUUUUUGAUCAAUAGGUUGUAUAUUUUAGAUGAAAUUUUCAAAACUUCUAUUUUUUGAAAGUUUUCAUUUUUAUUGAGAAAUAUUGUAGAGUUAGAGUUGUGAUUUAGAAUUUAGGAUAACAAGAAAUUUUGUUGAUAGAUGAGUAUUCCUUGUGGACUUUUGAUCAAUAAGUUGUAUUUUUAAGAUAAAAUUCUCAAAAGUGUUAUUUAGGAAAGUUUUAUUUUUAUUGGGAAAUAUUGUAGAUUUGGGGUUCAGAUUAAAAAUAUUAGAACAACAAGAAUUUUUGUUGAUAGGUGAGCAUUCUUUUAAAAGUUUUGAUCAAUAGGUUGUAUAUUUUAUAUAAAAUUCACAAAAAUUCUAUUUUUGGAAAGUUUCAUUUUUGUGAAUAAUAGUGUGGAUUUGAGGUUUUGAUUUAGAAAUUACGAUAACAAAAAUUAUUUGUUGAUAGAUGGAGUAUUCUUUUACAUUUUUGAUGAAUAGUUAUAUUUUUUAAAUAUAAUUAUCAAAAGUUCUAUUUUAGGAAAGUUUUCAUUUAGGUGAAUAAUAGUGUUUUGGGGUUUGAUUUAGAAAUUAGGAUAACAAGAAUUGUUUGUUAAUGAUGGAGUAUUAUUUUAGAUUUUUUGACGAAUAAUUGUAAUUUUUAAAUAUAAUUAUCAAAAGUUCUAUUUUAGGAAAGUUUUCAUUGUCUAUAGAAAUAUUGUAGAUUUGGAGUUGUGAUUUAGAAAUUAGGAUAACAAUAUUUUUUGUUGAUUAUGAGUAUUUGUUUUAGAUUUUUUGAUCAAUAGGUUAUAUUUUAGAUAAAAUUCUCAAAACUUCUAUUUUAGAAAGUUUCAUUUUUAUUGAGAAAUAUUGUAGAGUUAGGGUUGUGAUUUAGAAUUUAGGAUAACAAGAAAUUUUGUGAGAGAUGAGUAUUCUUUGAGGAUUUUGAUCAAUAAGUUGUAUUUUAAGAUAAAAUUCUCAAAAAUUCUUUUUAGGAACGUUUUAUUUUUAUUUGGAAAUAUUGUAGAUUUGGGGUUCAGAUUAAAAAUAUUAGAACAACAAGAAUUUUUGUUGAUAGGUGAGCAUUUUUAAAAAGUUUUGAUCACUAGGUGUAUAUUUUAUAUAUAAAAUUCUCAAAAUUCUAUUUUUGAAAGUUUCAUUUUGUGAAUAAUAGUGUGGAUUUGGGGUUUUGAUUUAGAAAUUAGGAUAAAGAAUUGUUUGUUGAUAGAUGGAGUAUUCUUUUACAUUUUUUGAUGAAUAGUUGUAUUUUUAAAUAUAAUUCUCAAAAGUUCUAUUUUAGGAAAGUUUCAUUUUGAUGAAUAAUAGUGUGGAUUUGGGGUUUUGAUUUAGAAAUUAGGAUAACAAGAAUUGUUUGUUGAAAGAUGGAGUAUUCUUUUAGAUUUUUUGAUCAAUAGUUGUAUUUUUUAAAUAUAAUUCUCAAAAGUUCUAUUUUAGAAAGUUUUCAUUGUCUAUAGAAAUAUUGUAGAUUUGGGGUUGUGAUUUAGAAAUUAGGAUAACAAUAUUUUGUUGAUAUAUGAGUAUUUUUGUUAGAUUUUUUGAUCAAUAGGUUGUAUAUUUUAGAUAAAAUUCUCAAAACUUCUAUUUUUAGAAAGUUUUCAUUUUUAUUGAGAAAUAUUGUAGUUUAGGGUUGUGAUUGUAAUUUAAUUUAGGAUAACAAGAAAUUUUGUUGAUAGAUGAGUAUUCUUUGAGGAUUUUUGAUCAAUAAGUUGUAUUUUUAAGAUAAAAUUCUCAAAAAAUCUAUUUUAGGAAAGUUUUUUUUUAUUUGGAAAUAUUGUAGAUUUGGGGUUCAGAUUAAAAAUAUUAGAACAACAAGAAAUUUUUGUUAGGUGAGCAUUUUUUAAAAGUUUUGAUCACUAGGUGUAUAUUUUAUAUAAAAUUCUCAAAAAUUCUAUUUUGGAAAUUUCAUUUUGUGAAUAAUAGUGUGGAUUUGGGGUUUUGAUUUAGAAAUUAGGAUAACAAGAAUUGUUUGUUGAUAGAUGGAGUAUUCUUUUACAUUUUUUGAUGAAUAGUUGUAUUUUAAAAUAUAAUUCUCAAAAGUUCUAUUUUAGGAAAGUUUCCAUUUUGUUGAAUAAUAGUGUGGAUUUGGGGUUUUGAUUUAGAAAUUAGGAUAACAAGAAUUGUUUGUUGAUAGAUGGAGUAUUCUUUUAGAUUUUUGAUCAAUAGUUGUAUUUUUUAAAUAUAAUUAUCAAAAGUUCUAUUUUAGGAAAGUUUUCAUUGUCUAUAGAAUAUUGUAGAUUUGGGGUUGUGAUUUAGAAAUUAGGAUAACAAUAUUUUUUGUUGAUAUAUGAGUAUUGUUUAGAUUUUUGGAUCAAUAGGUUGUUUAUCUUAGAUAAAAUUCUCAAAACUUCUAUUUUAGAAAGUUUUCAUUUUUAUUGAGAAUAUUGUAGAGUUAGGGUUGUGAUUUAGAAUUUAGGAUAACAAGAAAUUUGUUGAUAGAUGAGUAUUCUUUGAGGAUUUUUGAUCAAUAAGUUGUAUUUUUAAGAUAAAAUUCUCAAAAAUCUAUUUUAGGAAAGUUUUAUUUUUAAUUGGAAAUAUUGUAGAUUUGGGGUUCAGAUUAAAAAUAUAGAACAACAAGAAUUUUGUUUGAUAGGUGAGUAUUUUUUUAAAAGUUUUGAUCAAUAGGUUGUAUUUUUAUAUAAAAUUCUCAAAAAUUCUAUUUUUGGAAAGUUUCAUUUUUGUGAAUAAUAGUGUGGAUUUGGGGUUUUGAUUUAGAAAUUAGGAUAACAAGAAUUGUUUGUUGAUAGAUGGAGUAUUCUUUACAUUUUUUGAUGAAUAGUUGUAUUUUUUAAAUAUAAUUCUCAAAAGUUAUAUUUAGAAAAAAAAAAUUUUGGUGAAUAAUAGUGUGGAUUUGGGGUUUUGAUUAUAGAAAUUAGGAUAACAAGAAUUGUUUGUUACAGAUGGAGUAUUCUUUUAGAUUUUUUGAUCAAUAGUUGUAUUUUUUAAAUAUAAUUAUCAAAGUUCUAUUUUAGGAAAGUUUUCAUUGUAUAUAGAAAUAUUGUAGAUUUGGGGUUGUGGUUUAGAAAUUAGGAUAAAAAUAUAUUUUUUGAUGUAUGAGUAUUUUUUUAGAUUUUUUUAUCAAUAGGUGUAUAUUUAGAUAAAAUCUCAAAACUUCUAUUUUAGAAAGUUUUCAUUUUUAUGAGAAAUAUUGUAGAUUUAAGGUUGUGAUUUAGAAUUUAGGAUAACAAGAAAUUUUGUUGAUAGAUGAGUAUUCUUUAGGUUUUUGAUCAAUAGGUUGUAUAUUUUAGAUGAAAUUUUCAAAACUUCUAUUUUUGAAAGUUUUCAUUUUUAUUGAAAAUAUUGUAGAGUUAGAGUUUGAUUUAGAAUUAGGAUAACAAGAAAUUUUGUUGAUAGAUGAGUAUUCUUGUGGACUUUUGAUCAAUAAGUUUGUAUUUUAAGAUAAAAUUCUCAAAAGUGUUAUUUAGGAAAGUUUUAUUUUUAUGGGAAAUAUUGUAGAUUUGGGGUUCAGAUUAAAAAUAUUAGAACAACAAGAAUUUUUGUUGAUAGGUGAGCAUUCUUUUAAAAAGUUGAUCAAUAGGUUGUAUAUUUUAUAUAAAAUUCACAAAAUUCUAUUUUUGGAAAGUUUCAUUUUUGUGAAUAAUAGUGUGGAUUUUGGGUUUUGAUUUAGAAAUUACGAUAACAAAAUUGUUUGUUGAUAGAUGGAGUAUUCUUUUACAUUUUUUGAUGAAUAGUUGUAUUUUUUAAAUAUAAUUAUCAAAAGUUCUAUUUUAGGAAAGUUUUCAUUUAGGUGAAUAAUAGUGUGUAUUUGGGGUUUGAUUUAGAAAUUAGGAUAACAAGAAUUGUUUUUUGUUAAUGAUGGAGUAUUAUUUUAGAUUUUUGACAAUAAUGUAUUUUUAAAUAUAAUUAUCAAAAGUUAUAUUUUAGGAAAGUUUUCAUUGUCUAUAGAAAUAUUGUAGAUUUGGAGUUGUGAUUUAGAAAUUAGGAUAACAAUAUUUUUUGUUGAUAUAUGAGUAUUUGUUUAGAUUUUUUGAUCAAUAGGUUAUAUUUUAGAUAAAUUCUCAAAACUUCUAUUUUUAAAAAGUUUCAUUUUUAUUGAGAAAUAUUGUAGAGUUAGGGUUGUGAUUUAGAAUUUAGGAUAACAAGAAAUUUUGUUGAGAGAUGAGUAUUCUUUGAGGAUUUUUGAUCAAUAAGUUGUAUUUUUAAGAUAAAAUUCUCAAAAAUCUAUUUUAGGAAAGUUUUAUUUUUAUUUGGAAAUAUUGUAGAUUUGGGGUUCAGAUUAAAAAUAUUAGAACAACAAGAAUUUUUGUUGAUAGGUGCCAUUUUUAAAAAGUUUUGAUCACUAGUUGUAUUUAUAUAUAAAAUUUUCAAAAAUUCUAUUUUUGGAAAGUUUCAUUUUUGUGAAUAAUAGUGUGGAUUUGGGGUUUUGAUUUAGAAAUUAGGAUAAAAGAAUUGUUGAUAGAUAGAGGAGUAUUCUUUUACAUUUUUUGAUGAAUAGUUGUAUUUUUAAAAUAUAAUUCUCAAAAGUUCUAUUUUAGGAAAGUUUCCAUUUUGAUGAAUAAUAGUGUGGAUUUGGGGUUUUGAUUUAGAAAUUAGGAUAACAAGAAUUGUUUGUUGAAAGAUGGAGUAUUCUUUUAGAUUUUUGAUCAAUAGUUGUAUUUUAAAUAUAAUUCUCAAAAGUUCUAUUUUAGGAAAGUUUUCAUUGUCUAUAGAAAUAUUGUAGAUUUGGGGUUGUGAUUUAGAAAUUAGGAUAACAAUAUUUUUGUUGAUGUAUAUGAGUAUUUUUUUAGAUUUUUGAUCAAUAGGUUGUUAUUUUAGAUAAAAUUCUCAAAACUUCUAUUUUUAGAAAGUUUUCAUUUUUAUUGAGAAAUAUUGUAGAUUAGGGUUGUGAUUUAGAAUUUAGGAUAACAAGAAAUUUUGUUGAUAGAUGAGUAUUCUUUGAGGAUUUUUGAUCAAUAAGUUGUAUUUUUAAGAUAAAAUUCUCAAAAAAUCUAUUUUAGGAAAGUUUUAUUUUAUUUGGAAAUAUUGUAGAUUUGGGGUUCAGAUAAAAAUAUUAGAACAACAAGAAUUUUUGUUGAUAGGUGAGCAUUUUUUAAAAGUUUUGAUCAAUAGGUUGUAUAUUUAUAUAAAAUUCUCAAAAAUUCUAUUUUUGGAAAGUUUCAUUUUUGUGAAUAAUAGUGUGGAUUUGGGUUUUGAUUUAGAAAUUACGAUAACAAGAAUUGUUUGUUGAUAGAUGGAGUAUUCUUUUACAUUUUUUGAUGAAUAGUUGUAUUUUAAAAUAUAAUUCUCAAAAGUUCUAUUUUAGGAAAGUUUCAUUUUGAUGAAUAAUUGUGGAUUUGGGGUUUUGAUUAGAAAUUAGGAUAACAAGAAUUGUUUGUUGAAAGAUGGAGUAUUCUUUUAGAUUUUUUGAUCAAUAGUUGUAUUUUUUAAAUAUAAUUAUCAAAAGUUCUAUUUUAGGAAAGUUUUCAUUGUCUAUAGAAAUAUUGUAGAUUUGGAGUUGUGAUUUAGAAAUUAGGAUAACAAUAUUUUUUGUUGAUGUAUGAGUAUUUGUUUAGAUUUUUUGAUCAAUAGGUUAUAUUUUAGAUAAAAUUCUCAAAACUUCUAUUUUUAGAAAGUUUUCAUUUUUAUUGAGAAUAUUGUAGAGUUAGGUUUGUGAUUUAGAAUUUAGGAUAACAAGAAUUUUGUUGAUAGAUGAGUAUUCUUUGAGGAUUUUUGAUCAAUAAGUUGUAUUUUUAAGAUAAAAUUCUCAAAAAUCUAUUUUAGGAAAGUUUUAUUUUUAUUUGGAAAUAUUGUAGAUUUGGGGUUCAGAUUAAAAUAUUAGAACAACAAGAAUUUUUGUUGAUAGGUGAGCAUUUUUUAAAAGUUUUGAUCAAUAGGUUGUAUAUUUAUAUAAAAUUCUCAAAAAUUCUAUUUUGGAAAGUUUCAUUUUGUGAAUAAUAGUGUGGAUUUGGGGUUUUGAUUUAGAAAUUAGGAUAACAAGAAUUGUUUGUUGAUAGAUGGAGUAUUCUUUUACAUUUUUUGAUGAAUAGUUGUAUUUUUAAAAUAUAAUUCUCAAAGUUCUAUUUUAGGAAAGUUUCCAUUUGUUGAAUAAUAGUGUGGAUUUGGGGUUUUGAUUAGAAUUAGGGAUAACAAGAAUUGUUUGUUGAUAGAUGGAGUAUUCUUUUAGAUUUUUGAUCAAUAGUUGUAUUUUUAAAUAUUAUUAUCAAAAGUUCUAUUUUAGGAAAGUUUUUCAUUGUCUAUAGAAAUAUUGUAGAUUUGGGGUGUGAUUUAGAAAUUAGGAUAACAAUAUUUUUUGUUGAUGUAUGAGUAUUUUUUUAGAUUUUUGAUCAAUAGGUUGUUUAUUUUAGAUAAAAUUCUCAAAACUUCUAUUUUUAGAAAGUUUUCAUUUUUAUUGAGAAAUAUUGUAGACUUAGGUUUGUGAUUUAGAAUUUAGGAUAACAAGAAAUUUUGUUGAUAGAUGAGUAUUCUUUGAGGAUUUUUGAUCAAUAAGUUUUAUUUUAAGAUAAAAUUCUCAAAAAAUCUAUUUAGGAAAGUUUUAUUUUUAUUGGAAAUAUUGUAGAUUUGGGGUUCAGAUUAAAAAUAUUAGAACAACAAGAAUUUUUGUUGAUAGGUGAGCAUUCUUUUAAAAGUUUUGAUCAAUAGUUGUAUAUUUUAUAUAAAAUUCUCAAAAAUUCUAUUUUUGGAAAGUUUUCAUUUUGUGAAUAAUAGUGUGGAUUUGGGUUUUGAUUUAGAAAUUAGGAUAACAAGAAUUGUUUGUUGAUAGAUGGAGUAUUCUUUUACAUUUUUUUAUGAAUAGUUGUAUUUUUUAAAUAUAAUUCUCAAAAGUUAUAUUCUCAAAAGUUCUAUUUAGAAAAUUUCUUUUUGGUGAAUAAUAGUGUGGAUUUGGGGUUUUGAUUUAGAAAUUAGGAUAACAAGAAUUGUUUGUUUACAGAUGGAGUAUUCUUUUAGAUUUUUUGAUCAAUAGUUGUAUUUUUUAAAUAUAAUUAUCAAAAGUUCUAUUUUAGGAAAGUUUUCAUUGUAUAUAGAAAUAUUGUAGAUUUGGGGUUGUGGUUUAGAAAUUAGGAUAAAAAUAUAUUUUUUUGAUGUAUGAGUAUUUUUUUAGAUUUUUUUUAUCAAUAGGUUGUAUAUUUUAGAUAAAAUUCUCAAAACUUCUAUUUUUAGAAAGUUUUCAUUUUUAUUGAGAAAUAUUGUAGAUUUGGGUUGUGAUUUAGAAUUAGGAUAACAAGAAUUUUGUUGAUAGAUGAGUAUUUUUGAGGUUUUUGAUCAAUAGUUGUAUAUUUUAGAUAAAAUUCUCAAAACUUCUAUUUUUUGAAAGUUUUCAUUUUUAUUGAGAAAUAUUGUAGAGUUAGGGUUGUGAUUUAGAAUUUAGGAUAACAAGAAAUUUUGUUGAUAGAUGAGUAUUCUUUGAGGAUUUUGAUCAAUAAGUUGUAUUUUUAAGAUAAAAUUCUCAAAAAUCUAUUUUAGGAAAGUUUUAUUUUUAUUGGGAAAUAUUGUAGAUUUGGGGUUCAGAUUAAAAAUAUUAGAACAACAAGAAUUUUUGUUGAUAGGUGAGCAUUCUUUAAAAGUUUUGAUCAAUAGGUUGUAUAUUUUAUAUAAAAUUCUCAAAAAUUCUAUUUUGGAAAGUUUCAUUUUUGUGAAUAAUAGUGUGGAUUUGGGGUUUUGAUUUAGAAAUUAGGAUAACAAGAAUUGUUUGUUGAUAGAUGGAGUAUUCUUUUACAUUUUUUGAUGAAUAGUUGUAUUUUUAAAAUAUAAUUCUCAAAAUUCUAUUUUAGGAAAGUUUCCAUUUUGAUGAAUAAUAGUGUGGAUUUGGGGUUUUGAUUUAGAAAUUAGGAUAACAAGAAUUGUUUGUUGAAAGAUGGAGUAUUCUUUUAGAUUUUUUGAUCAAUAGUUGUAUUUUUUAAAUAUAAUUCUCAAAAGUUCUAUUUUAGGAAAGUUUUCAUUGUCUAUAGAAAUAUUGUAGAUUUGGAGUUGUGAUUUAGAAAUUAGGAUAACAAUAUUUUUUGUUGAUGUAUGAGUAUUUGUUUAGAUUUUUGAUCAAUAGGUUAUAUUUUAGAUAAAAUUCUCAAAACUUCUAUUUUAAAAAGUUUUCAUUUUUAUUGAGAAAUAUUGUAGAGUUAGGGUUGUGAUUUAGAAUUUAGGAUAACAAGAAAUUUUGUUGAUAGAUGAGUAUUCUUUGAGGAUUUUUGAUCAAUAAGUUGUAUUUUUAAGAUAAAAUUCUCAAAAAAUCUAUUUUAGGAAAGUUUUAUUUUUAUUUGGAAAUAUUGUAGAUUUGGGGUUCAGAUUAAAAAUAUUAGAACAACAAGAAUUUUUGUGGAUAGGUGAGCAUUUUUAUAAAAGUUUGAUUAAUAGGUUGUAUAUUUUAUAUAAAAUUCUCAAAAAUUCUAUUUCUGGAAAGUUUCAUUUUUGUGAAUAAUAGUGUGGAUUUGGGGUUUUGAUUUAGAAAUUAGGAUAACAAGAAUUGUUUGUUGAUAGAUGGAGUAUUCUUUUACAUUUUUUGAUGAAUAGUUGUAUUUUUAAAAUAUAAUUCUCAAAAGUUCUAUUUUAGGAAAGUUUCCAUUUUGUUGAAUAAUAGUGUGGAUUUGGGGUUUUGAUUUAGAAAUUAGGAUAACAAGAAUUGUUUGUUGAUAGAUGGAGUAUUCUUUUAGAUUUUUUGAUCAAUAGUUGUAUUUUUUAAAUAUAAUUAUCAAAAUUCUAUUUUAGGAAAGUUUUCAUUGUCUAUAGAAAUAUUGUAGAUUUGGGGUUGUGAUUUAGAAAUUAGGAUAACAAUAUUUUUGUUGAUAUAUGAGUAUUUUUUAGAUUUUUUGAUCAAUAGGUUGUUUUUUUAGAUAAAAUUCUCAAAACUUCUAUUUUUAGAAAGUUUUCAUUUUUAUUGAGAAAUAUUGUAGAUUUAGGGUUGUGAUUUAGAAUUUAGGAUAACAAGAAAUUUUGUUGAUAGAUGAGUAUUCUUUGAGGAUUUUUGAUCAAUAAGUUGUAUUUUUAAGAUAAAAUUCUCAAAAAAUCUAUUUUAGGAAAGUUUUAUUUUAAUUGGAAAUAUUGUAGAUUUGGGGUUCAGAUUAAAAAUAUUAGAACAACAAGAAUUUUUGUUGAUAGGUGAGCAUUCUUUUAAAAUUUUGAUCAAUAGGUUGUAUAUUUAUAUAAAAUUCUCAAAAAUUCUAUUUUUGGAAAGUUUUCAUUUUUGUGAAUAAUAGUGUGGAUUUGGGGUUUUGAUUUAGAAAUUAGGAUAACAAGAAUUGUUUGUUGAUAGAUGGAGUAUUCUUUUACAUUUUUUAUGAAUAGUUGUAUUUUUAAAUAUAAUUCUCAAAAGUUAUAUUUUAGAAAAAUUUUCUUUUUGGUGAAUAAUAGUGUGGAUUUGGGGUUUUGAUAUAGAAAUUAGGAUAACAAGAAUUGUUUGUUUACAGAUGGAGUAUUCUUUUAGAUUUUUUGAUCAAUAGUUGUAUUUUUUAAAUAUAAUUAUCAAAAGUUCUAUUUUAGGAAAGUUUUCAUUGUAUAUAGAAAUAUUGUAGAUUUGGGGUUGUGGUUUAGAAAUUAGGAUAAAAAUAUAUUUUUUUGAUGUAUGAGUAUUUUUUUAGAUUUUUUUUAUCAAUAGGUUGUAUAUUUUAGAUAAAAUUCUCAAAACUUCUAUUUUAGAAAUUUUCAUUUUUAUUGAGAAAUAUUGUAGAUUUAAGGUUGUGAUUUAGAAUUUAGGAUAACAAGAAUUUUGUUGAUAGAUGAGUAUUCUUUGAGGUUUUUUGAUCAAUAGUUGUAUAUUUUAGAUGAAAUUUUCAAAAUUCUAUUUUUGAAAGUUUUCAUUUUUUAUGAGAAUAUUGUAGAGUUAGAGUUGUGAUUUAGAAUUUAGGAUAACAAGAAAUUUUGUUGAUAGAUGAGUAUUCCUUGUGGAUUUUUGAUCAAUAAGUUGUAUUUUUUAAGAUAAAAUUCUCAAAAGUGUUAUUUAGGAAAGUUUUAUUUUUAUUGGGAAAUAUUGUAGAUUUGGGGUUCAGAUUAAAAUAUUAGAACAACAAGAAUUUUUGUUGAUAGGUGAGAAUUCUUUUAAAAGUUUGAUCAAUAGGUUGUAUUUUUAUAUAAUUCACAAAAAUUUAUUUUUGGAAAGUUUCAUUUUUGUGAAUAAUAGUGUGGAUUUGGGGUUUUGAUUUAGAAAUUACGAUAACAAAAAUUAUUUGUUGAUAGAUGGAGUAUUCUUUUACAUUUUUUGAUGAAUAGUUGUAUUUUUAAAUAUAAUUAUCAAAAGUUCUAUUUUAGGAAAGUUUUCAUUUUAGGUGAAUAAUAGUGUGUAUUUGGGGUUUUGAUUUAGAAAUUAGGAUAACAAGAAUUGUUUGUUAAUGAUGGAGUAUUAUUUUAGAUUUUUAUCAAUAAUUGUAAUUUUAAAAUAAUUAUCAAAAGUUCUAUUUUAGGAAAGUUUUCAUUGUCUAUAGAAAUAUUGUAGAUUUGGAGGGUUGUGAUUUAGAAAUUAGGAUAACAAUAUUUUUUGUUGAUAGAUGAGUAUUUGUUUAGAUUUUUUGAUCAAUGGGUUAUAUUUUAGAUAAAUUCUCAAAACUUCUAUUUUUAGAAAGUUUUCAUUUUAUUGAGAAAUAUUGUAGAGUUAGGGUUGUGAUUUAGAAUUUAGGAUAACAAGAAAUUUUGUUGAGAGAUGAGUAUUCUUUGAGGAUUUUUUAUCAAUAAGUUGUAUUUUUAAGAUAAAAUUCUCAAAAAAUCUAUUUUAGGAAGUUUUUAUUUUUAUUUGGAAAUAUUGUAGAUUUGGGGUUUCAGAUUAAAGUAUUUAGAACAACAAGAAUUUGUUGAUAGGUGAGCAUUUUUUAAAAAGUUUUGAUCAAUAGGUUGUAUAUUUUAUAUAAAAUUCUCAAAAUUCUAUUUUUGGAAAGUUUCAUUUUUGUGAAUAAUAGUGUGGAUUUGGGGUUUGAUUUAGAAAUUAGGAUAAAAAAAUUGUUGUUGAUAGAUGGAGUAUUCUUUUACAUUUUUUGAUGAAUAGUUGUAUUUUUAAAAUAUAAUUCUCAAAAGUUCUAUUUUAGGAAAGUUUCCAUUUUGAUGAAUAAUAGUGUGGAUUUGGGGUUUUGAUUUAGAAAUUAGGAUAACAAGAAUUGUUUGUUGAAAGAUGGAGUAUUCUUUUAGAUUUUUUGAUCAAUAGUUGUAUUUUUUAAAUAUAAUUCUCAAAAGUUCUAUUUUAGGAAAGUUUUCAUUGUCUAUAGAAAUAUUGUAGAUUUGGGUUGUGAUUUAGAAAUUAGGAUAACAAUAUUUUUUGUUGAUGUAUGAGUAUUUUUUUAGUUUUUUUGAUCAAUAGGUUGUAUAUUUUUAGAUAAAUUCUCAAAACUUCUAUUUUAGAAAGUUUUCAUUUUUAUUGAGAAUAUUGUAGAUUUAGGGUUGUGAUUUAGAAUUUAGGAUAACAAGAAAUUUUGUUGAUAGAUGAGUAUUCUUUGAGGAUUUUUGAUCAAUAAGUUGUAUUUUUAAGAUAAAUUCUCAAAAAUCUAUUUUAGGAAAGUUUUAUUUUUUAAUUGGAAAUAUUGUAGAUUUGGGGUUCAGAUUAAAAAUAUUAGAACAACAAGAAUUUUUUGUUAUAGGUGAGCAUUCUUUUAAAAGUUUUGAUCAAUAGGUUGUAUAUUUAAUAUAAAAUUCUCAAAAAUUCUAUUUUUGGAAAGUUUUCAUUUUUGUGAAUAAUAGUGUGGAUUUGGGGUUUUGAUUUAGAAAUUAGGAUAACAAGAAUUGUUUGUUGAUAGAUGGAGUAUUCUUUUACAUUUUUUGAUGAAUAGUUGUAUUUUUAAAUAUAAUUCUCAAAAGUUCUAUUUUAGAAAAUUUUCUUUUUGGAUAAUAGUGUGGAUUUGGUUUUGAUUUAGAAAUUAGGAUAACAAGAAUUGUUGUUUACAGAUGGAGUAUUCUUUUAGAUUUUUUGAUCAAUAGUUGUAUUUUUUAAAUAUAAUUAUCAUAAGUUCUAUUUUAGGAAAGUUUUCAUUGUAUAUAGAAAUAUUGUAGAUUUGGGUUGUGGUUUAGAAAUUAGGAUAAAAUAUUUUUUUUGAUGUAUGAGUAUUUUUUUAGAUUUUUUGAUCAAUAGUUGUAUAUUUUAAAUAAAAUUCUCAAAAUUCUAUUUUUUAAAGUUUUCAUUUUUAUUGAGAAAUAUUGUAGAUUUGGGUUGUGAUUUAGAAUUUAGGAUAACAAGAAAUUUGUUGAUAGAUGAGUAUUCUUUGAGGUUUUGAUCAAUAGGUUGUAUAUUUUAGAUAAAUUUUCAAAACUUCUAUUUUUUGAAAGUUUUCAUUUUUAUUGAGAAAUAUUGUAGAUUAGGGUUGUGAUUUAGAAUUUAGGAUAACAAGAAAUUUUGUUGAUAGAUGAGUAUUCUUUGGACUUUUGAUCAAUAAGUUGUAUUUUUAAGAUAAAAUUCUCAAAAGUUUAUUUAGGAAAGUUUUAUUUUUAUUGGGAAAUAUUGUAGAUUUGGGGUUCAGAUUAAAAUAUUAGAACAACAAGAAUUUUUGUUGAUAGGUGAGAUUCUUUUAAAUUUUUUGAUCAAUAGGUUGUAUAUUUAAUAUAAAAUUCUCAAAAAUUCUAUUUUAGGAAAGUUCAUUUUUGUGAAUAAUAGUGUGGAUUUGGGGUUUUGAUUUAGAAAUUACGAUAACAAAAAUUAUUUGUUGAUAGAUGGAGUAUUCUUUUAGAUUUUUUGAUGAAUAGUUGUAUUUUUUAAAUAUAAUUAUCAAAAGUUCUAUUUUAGGAAAGUUUUCAUUAGGUGAAUAAUAGUGUGUAUUUGGGUUUUGAUUUAGAAAUUAGGAUAACAAGAAUUGUUUGUUUAAUGAUGGAGUAUUUUUUAGAUUUUUGACAAAUAAUUGUAAUUUAAAAUAUAAUUAUCAAAAGUUCUAUUUUAGGAAAGUUUUCAUUGUCUAUAGAAAUAUUGUAGAUUUGGAUUGUGAUUUAGAAAUUAGGAUAACAAAUUUUUUUUGUUGAUAGAUGAGUAUUUGUUUAGAUUUUUGAUCAAUAGGUAUAUUUUAGAUAAAAUUCUCAAAACUUCUAUUUUUAGAAAGUUUUCAUUUUUAUGAAAUAUUGUAGAGUUGGGGUUGUGAUUUUAGAAUUUAGGAUAACAAGAAAUUUUGUUGAGAGAUGAGUAUUCUUUGAGGAUUUUGAUCAAUAAGUUGUAUUUUUUAAGAUAAAAUUCUCAAAAAUCUAUUUUAGGAAAGUUUAUUUUUAUUUGGAAAUAUUGUAGAUUUGGGUUCUGAUUUAAAAUAUUAGAAUAACAAGAAUUUUUGUUGAUAGGUGAUAUUUUUUUAAAGUUUGAUCAUAGGUUGUAUUUUUAUAUAAAAUUCUCAAAAAUUCUAUUUUUGGAAAGUUUCAUUUUUGUGAAUAAUAGUGUGGAUUUGGGGUUUUGAUUUAGAAAUUAGGAUAAAAGAAUUGUUUGUUGAUAGAUGGAGUAUUCUUUUACAUUUUUUGAUGAAUAGUUGUAUUUUUAAAUAUAAUUCUCAAAAUUCUAUUUUAGGAAAGUUUCCAUUUUGAUGAAUAAUAGUGUGGAUUUUGGGUUUUGAUUUAGAAUUAGGAUAACAAGAAUUGUUUGUUGAAAGAUGGAGUAUUCUUUUAGAUUUUUUGAUCAAUAGUUGUAUUUUUUAAAUAUAAUUCUCAAAAGUUCUAUUUUAGGAAAGUUUUCAUUGUCUAUAGAAAUAUUGUAGAUUUGGAGUUGUGAUUUAGAGAAUUAGGAUAACAAUAUUUUUGUUGAUGUAUGAGUAUUUCUUUAGAUUUUUUGAUCAAUAGGUUAUAUUUUAGAUAAAAUUCUCAAAACUUUAUUUUUAAAAGUUUUCAUUUUUAUUGAGAAUAUUGUAGAUUUGGGGUUGUGAUUUAGAAAUUAGGAUAACAAGAAAUUUUGUUGAUAGAUGAGUAUUCUUUGAGGAUUUUUGAUCAAUAGUUGUAUUUUUAAGAUAAAAUUCUCAAAAAUCUAUUUUAGGAAAGUUUUUAUUUUUAUUUGGAAAUAUUGUAGAUUUGGGGUUCAGAUUAAAAAUAUUAGAACAACAAGAAUUUUGUUGAUAGGUGAGCAUUUUUAUAAAGUUUUGAUAAUAGGUUGUAUAUUUUAUAUAAAAUUCUCAAAAAUUCUAUUUUGGAAAGUUUCAUUUUUGUGAAUAAUAGUGUGGAUUUGGGUUUUGAUUUAGAAAUUAGGAUAACAAGAAUUGUUUGUUGAUAGAUGGAGUAUUCUUUUACAUUUUUUGAUGAAUAGUUGUAUUUUUAAAAUAUAUUCUCAAAAGUUCUAUUUUAGGAAAGUUUCAUUUUGUUGAAUAAUAGUGUGGAUUUGGGGUUUUGAUUUAAAAUUAGGAUAACAAGAAUUGUUUGUUGAUAGAUGGAGUAUUCUUUUAGAUUUUUUGAUCAAUAGUUGUAUUUUUUAAAUAUAAUUAUCAAAAUUCUAUUUUAGGAAAGUUUUCAUUGUCUAUAGAAAUAUUGUAGAUUGGGGUUGUGAUUAGAGAAAUUAGGAUAACAAUAUUUUUGUUUGAUAUAUGAGUAUUUGUUUAGAUUUUUUGAUCAAUAGGUUGUUUAUUUUAGAUAAAAUUCUCAAAACUUCUAUUUUUAGAAAGUUUUCAUUUUUAUUGAGAAAUAUUGUAGAGUUAGGGUUGUGAUUUAGAAUUUAGGAUAACAAGAAAUUUUGUUGAUAGAUGAGUAUUCUUUGAGGAUUUUUUGAUCAAUAAGUUGUAUUUUUAAGAUAAAAUUCUCAAAAAAAUCUUUAGGAAAGUUUUAUUUUUUAUUGGAAAUAUUGUAGAUUUGGGGUUCAGAUUAAAAAUAUUAGAACAACAAGAAUUUUUGUUGAUAGGUGAGCAUUUUUUUAAAGUUUGAUCAAUAGGUUGUAUAUUUUAUAUAAAAUUCUCAAAAAUUCUAUUUUUGGAAAGUUUUCAUUUUUGUGAAUAAUAGUGUGGAUUUGGGGUUUUGAUUUAGAAAUUAGGAUAACAAGAAUUGUUUGUUGAUAGAUGGAGUAUUCUUUUACAUUUUUUGAUGAAUAGUUGUAUUUUUUAAAUAUAAUUCUCAAAAGUUCUAUUUUAGGAAAGUUUUCAUUUAGUGAAUAAUAGUGUGGAUUUGGGGUUUUGAUUUAGAAAUUAGGAUAACAAGAAUUGUUUGUUUAAUGAUGGAGUAUUCUUUUAGAUUUUUUGACAAUAGUUGUAUUUUUAAAAUAAUUAUCAAAAGUUCUAUUUUAGGAAAGUUUUCAUUGUCUAUAGAAAUAUUGUAGAUUUGGGGUUGUGAUUUAGAAAUUAGGAUAACAAUAUUUUUUGUUGAUAUAUGAGUAUUUGUUUAGAUUUUUUGAUCAAUAGGUUAUAUUUAGAUAAAAUUCUCAAAAUUCUAUUUUAGAAAGUUUUCAUUUUUAUUGAGAAAUAUUGUAGAGUUAGGGUUGUGAUUUAGAAUUUAGGAUAACAAGAAAUUUUGUUGAUAGAUGAGUAUUCUUUGAGGAUUUUUGAUCAAUAAGUUGUAUUUUUAAGAUAAAAUUCUCAAAAAUCUAUUUUAGGAAAGUUUUAUUUUUAUUUGGAAUAUUGUAGAUUUGGGGUUCAGAUUAAAAAUAUUAGAACAACAAGAAUUUUUGUUGAUAGGUGAGCAUUUUUAAAAGUUUUGAUCACUAGGUUGUAUAUUUUAUAUAAAAUUCUCAAAAAUUCUAUUUUUGGAAAGUUUCAUUUUUGUGAAUAAUAGUGUGGAUUUGGGGUUUUGAUUUAGAAAUUAGGAUAAAAGAAUUUUUUGUUGAUAGAUGGAGUAUUCUUUUACAUUUUUUGAUGAAUAGUUGUAUUUUUAAAAUAUAAUUCUCAAAAGUUCUAUUUUAGGAAAGUUUCCAUUUUGAUGAAUAAUAGUGUGGAUUUGGGGUUUUGAUUUAGAAAUUAGGAUAACAAGAAUUGUUUGUUGAAAGAUGGAGUAUUCUUUUAGAUUUUUUGAUCAAUAGUUGUAUUUUUUAAAUAUAAUUCUCAAAAGUUCUAUUUUAGAAAAGUUUUCAUUGUCUAUAGAAAUAUUGUAGAUUUGGGGUUGUGAUUUAGAAAUUAGGAUAACAAUAUUUUUUGUUGAUGUAUGAGUAUUUUUUUUAGAUUUUUUGAUCAAUAGGUUGUAUAUUUUAGAUAAAAUUCUCAAAACUUCUAUUUUUAGAAAGUUUUCAUUUUUAUUGAGAAAUAUUGUAGAUUUAGGGUUGUAAUUUAGAAUUUAGGAUAACAAGAAAUUUUGUUGAG